GACGAACGCUGGCGGCGUGCCUAAUACAUGCAAGUAGAACGCACAGUUUAUACCGUAGCUUGCUACACCAUACACUGUGAGUUGCGAACGGGUGAGUAACGCGUAGGUAACCUGCCUGGUAGCGGGGGAUAACUAUUGGAAACGAUAGCUAAUACCGCAUAAUAUUGAUUAUUGCAUGAUAAUUGAUUGAAAGAUGCUAUUGCAUCACUACCAGAUGGACCUGCGUUGUAUUAGCUAGUAGGUGAGGUAACGGCUCACCUAGGCGACGAUACAUAGCCGACCGGAGAGGGUGAUCGGCCACACUGGGACUGAGACACGGCCCAGACUCCUACGGGAGGCAGCAGUAGGGAAUCUUCGGCAAUGGACGAAAGUCUGACCGAGCAACGCCGCGUGAGUGAAGAAGGGUUUCGGAUCGUAAAGCUCUGUUGUAAGAGAAGAACGGGUGUGAGAGUGGAAAGUUCACACUGUGACGGUAUCUUACCAGAAAGGGACGGCUAACUACGUG
RNAcentral lists this ribosomal RNA (505 nucleotides) under uncultured bacterium. Its description in RNAcentral is "partial 16S ribosomal RNA". It matches the Rfam family "Bacterial small subunit ribosomal RNA", at positions 28 to 507 of the family's 1533-position model. The record is from RNAcentral.